This is a non-coding RNA of Emmonsiellopsis sp. PD_33, 72 nucleotides long. The record is from the annotation of a GenBank genome assembly. Lineage: Eukaryota; Fungi; Ascomycota; Eurotiomycetes; Onygenales; Ajellomycetaceae.
GCCCCCGUAGCCCAAUGGUAGGGCGUUAGACUUCUAAUCUAAAGGCUGCGGGUUCGAGUCCCGCCGGGGGUG